This 388-nucleotide long non-coding RNA is filed under the name Medicago truncatula (barrel medic). Its description in RNAcentral is "lncRNA gene36611". Lineage: Eukaryota; Viridiplantae; Streptophyta; Magnoliopsida; Fabales; Fabaceae. The record is from RNAcentral.
AUGGAAUUUCUGGAUUUUACUUAUAAUCGUUCAGUUCUAGUGUGUGGUUGGUGUUGCGAUAUGAAAAGUUAUUCAUUGUGGCUUAUUUUUUUACAAGGGAAAUUUGAUUCCAUGUAGCUUGGAGUGAUAAUACAAUUGAGGAGAAGACCAAGACUACCACUGAUAAGGGGUAUCAAGCUGGAUAUUCACCAUCAUUUGUAUAAGUCAAGGACAAGCUUAGUACAAUGAACAUAGAUGAACGUUAGAACAAAAAAGCAGUAGCAUAAACGACUCCCUGUUAGAGGCAAACAAUUGGGGUAUGCAUCUAAGGGUAUUAAAAACGGCAUUCAUUUUGGUGUUGUAACUAUUUUUUAGAUUGUAUAGGUCUUGACUUACCAAUGUUACUUCA